CCCACUCUCAAGCCAAUCGGCUUUGAUCAGGUGUAGUAUCUGUUCUUGCCAGUUUAACACCUGGCAUAUCCGUAAGGAUGUUUAUUCUUUGGAAAACAGGACUUUUACAGUGGAUGCACUUGUGUGAUUGCUGUAAAUUGAAUAGUCCUGGGUCUUUUAAGACCAUUUUAUUUUAAAUUUU
This is a small nuclear RNA of Nosema bombycis CQ1, 181 nucleotides long. It matches the Rfam family "U2 spliceosomal RNA". From Rfam's summary of the family: U2 is a small nuclear RNA (snRNA) component of the spliceosome (involved in pre-mRNA splicing). NCBI's taxonomy places the organism in Eukaryota, Fungi, Microsporidia, Nosematidae. The record is from Rfam.